Molecule: small nuclear RNA, 102 nt
Organism: Heterocephalus glaber (naked mole-rat)
Lineage: Eukaryota; Metazoa; Chordata; Mammalia; Rodentia; Bathyergidae
Source: Ensembl
UCAUUUCAACAGCGUAUAUACUAAACUUGGAAUUAUAAGGGAAGAUUAGCAUGACCCCUGCCCAAGCAUGAUACACAAAUUCAUGAAAUGUUCUAUAUUUUU